AGAAGCUGGCGGCACGCCUAACACAUGCAAGUCGAGCGCACCCUUCGGGGUGAGCGGCGGACGGGUUAGUAACGCGUGGGGAACAUACCCUUUUCUACGGAAUAGCCUCGGGAAACUGAGAGUAAUACCGUAUACGCCCUUCGGGGGAAAGAUUUAUCGGAGAAGGAUUGGCCCGCGUUAKAUUAGAUAGUUGGUGGGGUAACGGCCUACCAAGUCUACGAUCUAUAGCUGGUUUUAGAGGAUGAUCAGCAACACUGGGACUGAGACACGGCCCARACUCCUACGGGAGGCAGCAGUGGGGAAUCUUAGACAAUGGGCGCAAGCCUGAUCUAGCCAUGCCGCGUGUGUGAUGAAGGCCUUAUGGUCGUAAAGCACUUUCGCCAGGGAUGAUAAUGACAGUACCUGGKAAAGAAACCCCGGCUAACUCCGUGCCAGCAGCCGCGGUAAUACGGAGGGGGUUAGCGUUGUUCGGAAUUACUGGGCGUAAAGCGUACGUAGGCGGAUCAGAAAGUAGGGGGUGAAAUCCCGAGGCUCAACCUCGGAACUGCCUCCUAAACUCCUGGUCUUGAGUUCGAGAGAGGUGAGUGGAAUUCCAAGUGUAGAGGUGAAAUUCGUASAUAUUUGGAGGAACACCAGUGGCGAAAGCGGCUCACUGGCUCGAUACUGACGCUGAGGUACNAAAGUGUGGGGAGCAAACAGGAUUAGAUACCCUGNUAGUCCACACCGUAAACNAUGAAUGCCAGUCGUCCGGCANUAUAAUUGNUCGGUGGACACACCUCACGGAAUUAAGCAUUCC
RNAcentral lists this ribosomal RNA (796 nucleotides) under Sulfitobacter sp. KE2-12. Its description in RNAcentral is "bacterial SSU rRNA". It matches the Rfam family "Bacterial small subunit ribosomal RNA", at positions 31 to 870 of the family's 1533-position model. Lineage: Bacteria; Pseudomonadati; Pseudomonadota; Alphaproteobacteria; Rhodobacterales; Roseobacteraceae. The record is from RNAcentral.